GAUUGCCCAUAUAAGUUCGUUCCUGGGUUGUAUUCGGUCCUGUCAUUGACAGGGACAUCGGAUCACCACAUCGUAAAGGUUGACAUAAUGAAAUGUGCAAACAACCCUUCCCACAAAAGUGACGGCAACAACAAUAAAAUUACCAAGAAAAGGCGACGACAGCGCAAGCACCAGACAGUCAUAAAGAUCACAGGCACUGCUCCACCUUCAAAGGGUAUCUAGACAACGAAUACAUUAAGCAAAGUUGAAUGACAUUACAUUUUAGAGUUGAAGAGGGGAGUGUUCUGGGGUGAUGGCUUCCUCACAUCCGUAUAGAUUUCAACACGACAGAAGUGAAUUCUUACCUUUCAGCUGGGGAUUGGAGCUGAACCGUCCUGGCAAGUUAUUUUUGAGUAUUGUAUAUAUAUAUUUUUUUCGCUUGUAAUUUUAACUGCAAGAUUCAGAUCAGUUUUUGUUGAGGGCGACAUCUUGACUUGA
This is a long non-coding RNA of Eucalyptus grandis, 477 nucleotides long. RefSeq lists it as uncharacterized. The transcript is spliced from 2 exons. NCBI's taxonomy places the organism in Eukaryota, Viridiplantae, Streptophyta, Magnoliopsida, Myrtales, Myrtaceae. The record is from RefSeq and is a predicted model, not a curated record.